Molecule: long non-coding RNA, 2824 nt
Filed under: Marmota monax (woodchuck)
Lineage: Eukaryota; Metazoa; Chordata; Mammalia; Rodentia; Sciuridae
Source: RNAcentral
AAACUUCUCUUUUAGUUUACAAUCUUUAUCUUUCAUAAUAUUGGGCAAUAUACCAUGUGUACAGUGGUAUUCAGAGCUGUUUCACUUGUGUGCCCGUUUUUAUUGGUUCAUUCAUUGAAGUCAACGUACAUUUAUUUAUAAUGCAUUCUGUAUAUCACAAGUCUUUUCUGCCUUUUGUGUCUGUGAUGAUAGGUAACAGUUAAUCUGUUCCAGAUGCAGCACUUUCAGGCUGCCUCCCUUGCAAACAGUUUAGUCUUUCACUGUGAUAGCGCCAAACUUUAUGAUCCAGGCCAAGAGUACAGUGAAUUUGUGAAGGCUACAAAGUCAACUGAAGAAGAAAAAGUUGAUGGGUAAGAAUUAAUAUCUAGAUGAAUUUCUAGAAAUAAAACAUUUACUAAGUUCCUAUGUGGUAUAAAGAGGUAUAUUUUCUAAUAUUGAUAGAAUUAACUUUAAAAAUUUCUGAAAAAUUUUAUUUGUAUUAUUUUGUGGUUUCUUAGUAAGUCUCACUUGAGAGUAAAGCUUUCCAUUUUGAUACUGACCUCACUCUGUGAGACUUAAAAAUCCUUUGGGAACGGCAAAUGACAAUCAUACACAUUUUGAAUGUCCACAAAAUUUAACCUAUAUUUUCCACUGAGAUGAUACUACAAAAGUUUAAUCAUAACAUGCAUUACUGACUGUUGCUAUUUCUAUCAAUGUUUCAACUGUGAAAAUAAAUUUUUAUCCAUAUCUCCUUAAAAAAGCUGAACCAUGUAACAGUUUGUUCAUUGUAUUUAGUUAAUUAUUCUACAUAUAUUAAAUCAACAAAUUUUUCUGACUAUAGUACAAAGUAGAUUUAUUGUUAGUGCUGAGCUUUCUUUGCUUUUUCUUAGGAAUGUAAAUAAACCAUUAACAAAUAGUUCCCAGAUGUCCAGAUGUGGCCCUUCUCACUCUUUAAAGGAUGUUGUGUGCCUUCCUGACAGUUGUAAUAAAAUUGAAGAGGACAUAUUGAGUUUCAAUCCAGACUUUGUAUUUGAACAAGAUCUCCCAGGUGAUUCACUUGAAGGUUAAUUUUUUUCAAACACUGGUUAUAAUCACUCUAACAAUGGAGAUCUAACAGGUGUCUUUCUUUCUUUCUUUCUCUCUCUCUUUUUUAAAAAAUAUUUAUUGUUCAUUUGUAGUUGGACACAAUAGCUUUAUUUUAUUUAUUUUUAUGUGGUGCUGAGGAUCAAACCCAGUUUCUCAUGCGUGCUAGGAGAGUGCUCUAACACUGAGCUACAACCGUAUCCCCUAACAGGGGUUUUUCACUCUGAAGAGAAUACAGGUUUAUGAAAGAGCAAAUUGUUCAUUGGUCAUUAAAUGAACUGGAGCUCUAGAACCAGAAAAUCAGGCUUUAUAAUGUAACUCUGUGAGACCUAGUCAUGAUUGUAACCACCAUGCCUGCCUUAAAGUCCAUAAUUGGUCAUUGUUAAACAAAUCUGAAUUGUCUCAUUUUAUGUAAUGUCAGUAUUUUACCUUAUGAAAUCUACCUCUUAGCUAAGUUUUGACUUUAAAUAUUUUUUUCUUAAAGGUGGUUCAUUUUUAAAAAUAUUUUUUUAGUUGUUGAUAGAUCUUUAUUUUAUUUAUACGCGGUGCUGAGAAUUGAACCCAGUGCCUCCCACAUGCCAGGCAAGUGCACUACCACUGAGCCCCAACCCCAGCCCAAAGAUGGUUCUUUUUAGUAUAUAUGACAGCAGAAUGCAUUUUGAUUCAUUGUACACAAUUGCAGCACAACUUUUCAUUUCUCUGGUUGUAUACUAUGUAGUGUUGCACCAUAUGUGCAGUCAUACAUGUACCUAGGGUAAUGAUGUCCAUCUCGUUCCAUCAUUUUUCCUGUCCCCAUGCCCCUUCCCCAUCACCCUCCCCUUGGCCCAAUGAAAGUUCCUCCAUUUUUCCCAUCUGUCCCCCACCCCUGUCCAUCUCCAUGGAUCAGCAUCCACUUAUCAGAGAGAAUAUUUCGCCUUUGGAUUUUUGGGAUUGGCUUACUUUGCUUAGCAUGAUAUUCUCCAUCUCCAUCCAUUUAUACCUGCAAAUGCCAUAAUUUUAUUCUAUUUUAAUGCCGAGUAAUAUUCCAUUGUGUACAUAUACCACAGUUUCUUUAUCCAUUCAUCUGUUGAAGGGCAUCUGUGGUGCUGGGGAUAUAGGUCAGUUGGUAGAGUGGUUGCCUCACAUGCAUAAGAUCUUCUUUCAUAAGAUCAUGGACAUUUGGGAUGUUUAGUGACUUAUAGUACUGGAGGGAGCAGUGAAUCUGGAUCCUUGGAUUCAGAAUCUAUAAGUCCAGGUACAUAAAUAUUUAAGUCUAGCAGUAAAAUUCAAUGAAAUUAUUAAAAUAAUCACUUGGGGAAUAUUUAUAACUAACUUAUUUUUAUAAUGAAGUGUCUUAAAUAUAGAUGAGAAUAUAUAUAUAUAUAUAUAUAUAUAUAUAUAUAUAUACAGAUUAAAGAAAGAGAAUGAAACAGACCCUCAAUAAAAAUAUUAGGACAUUAGAAGCACCUGGGUACUCCUUCUUGAUUACACUGCCUUAGCUCCCACCAGCAUAAACCAUUAUCCUGACUAUUUUAAAAUCAUUCUGUAGAUAUUUCAAAUGUUUUUAAUACCUAUAUGUAGUAGAGUUUUGACCUCUUCUGGAUAUUGUUCAAAUUCAAUCAUACUAUUUUGUGACUUAAUUCAUGCAUGUUAUGUUAAUGUGAAUAGUUGGCCUUAUUUUUACUACUGUAUUCUAGUCCAUGAACUUGAAUAUCAUGAUUGAUCUUUUGAAUUGUUUUGCAGUAAUUGCUAUAAUAAACAAUUCCAUUAUGCCAAUCCUUGA